GAGGGUAUAGCUCAGUGGUAGAGUGCAUGCUUAGCAUGUGCAAGGUCCUGGGUUCAACCCCCAGUACCACUG
This 72-nucleotide transfer RNA is filed under the name Camelus bactrianus (Bactrian camel). It matches the Rfam family "tRNA". Rfam says of the family: Transfer RNA (tRNA) molecules are approximately 80 nucleotides in length. Their secondary structure includes four short double-helical elements and three loops (D, anti-codon, and T loops). RNAcentral also lists the same sequence under 2 other names. Lineage: Eukaryota; Metazoa; Chordata; Mammalia; Artiodactyla; Camelidae. The record is from Rfam by way of RNAcentral.